GACAGGUGCUGCAUGGCUGUCGUCAGCUCGUGUUGUGAAAUGUUGGGUUAAGUCCCGCAACGAGCGCAACCCUUAUCCUUUGUUGCCAGCGAUUCGGUCGGGAACUCAAAGGAGACUGCCGGUGAUAAACCGGAGGAAGGUGGGGAUGACGUCAAGUCAUCAUGGCCCUUACGAGUAGGGCUACACACGUGCUACAAUGGCGCAUACAAAGAGAAGCGACCUCGCGAGAGCAAGCGGACCUCACAAAGUGCGUCGUAGUCCGGAUCGGAGUCUGCAACUCGACUCCGUGAAGUCGGAAUC
RNAcentral lists this ribosomal RNA (300 nucleotides) under uncultured Gammaproteobacteria bacterium. RNAcentral describes it as "bacterial SSU rRNA". It matches the Rfam family "Bacterial small subunit ribosomal RNA", at positions 1033 to 1333 of the family's 1533-position model. The record is from RNAcentral. Lineage: Bacteria; Pseudomonadati; Pseudomonadota; Gammaproteobacteria.